AUCGAUGGCUUACUUACUAUUGAAUUGAUUACCUGAAGUUGGAACUGAAGAGUUUUUAGGUACUCAAUAGCCUCAUCAAGCAUUGAUGCUUUGUCCACCUUGUUGCAGUUUGGUAUGAGUUUUUGAAGAGCUUUCAUUUUUUCAUUGAUCCUAUCCCUUCUUCUCUGUUGAAAAUAUAUAUACCCAUCCAAUGAAAUCCGAAAUUGAGAUUGAAAACAUAUAUCCUUUUUGUUUUUAUGUUCAAUAAUGUCGUACAUAUCAACUUACUUACUCUUUCUGAUAAAUUAUGAACUUCCGCAGCUCUGCUUCUUUUGUUAGUCGAUGAAGUGGAGCAGCUGUUGUGUUUUUUUGCACAAUCAGCAGAUUCAUCAUCUGGAUCCUGAAUGAGUGAAAAAGAAGGAAUGAUUCACAAACAAACAAUUACAAUUUACAAAUAAUUAACUGACUGACUUUGCUUUUAUUAGAAGAGCCGUUGCCUUCCAGUAGCUUCUUUUUGAUUUUAUGCUUUGGAACACUAGGUGCAGCUUCCGGCACUUUUCUUUCUUUGCCGGAACUAAUGAUGCCCUUUUCGUCCCACUUAAUGACGGGUGCAUUGUCUGUAGGGUUGAGAGUUUUCAGCUUUUCGGCAUUUUGAAGAUUGGUCUGGUGAAGAGCGACGGGUCUUGUGAAAUUGGAGAAAUUGAAAAACCCAGAGGUGACGGCGUCGGGAUCUUGGGUUGUUUGCAAUUUAUCCGAUGUAGUGGCAGCGGAU
Molecule: long non-coding RNA, 751 nt
Filed under: Zostera marina
Lineage: Eukaryota; Viridiplantae; Streptophyta; Magnoliopsida; Alismatales; Zosteraceae
Description: long non-coding RNA (ZMAR_LNC003645)
Source: RNAcentral